CUGCUACAUUUCCUGCGGCGGAUUCCGCGCAGCUCCACCACUCCCUGACAGGCCGCAGUAACGAUCGCAGCACUGCUCCACUCCCUAUGACGGAUCCCACGCGGCUCCAUUACUACCUGACCAGCCAUGAUAAACGGCCACGAUCCUGCUCCACCUCCUGCAACGGAUACUGCGCGAUUCUCCCAUCCACUGGCAAGUCACGACGACAAACGCCGCCCCACUUCACGCGGCAGACUCCACGUGGCACGCCCCAGCGAUAGCCACGGGUCCGUUCCACUAUACUUCGCAGCAAACUCCG
RNAcentral lists this long non-coding RNA (298 nucleotides) under Elaeis guineensis (African oil palm). RNAcentral's name for it is "long non-coding RNA (EGUI_LNC032538)". Lineage: Eukaryota; Viridiplantae; Streptophyta; Magnoliopsida; Arecales; Arecaceae. The record is from RNAcentral.